Molecule: ribosomal RNA, 253 nt
Filed under: uncultured bacterium
Lineage: Bacteria
Description: partial 16S ribosomal RNA
Rfam family: Bacterial small subunit ribosomal RNA
Source: RNAcentral
GACAGAGGGGGCAAGCGUUGCUCGGAAUCACUGGGCGUAAAGGGCGCGUAGGCGGGAUGGCAAGUCGGUCGUGAAAUCCUUCGGCUCAACCGAAGAACGUCGGCCGAUACUGCCGUUCUUGAGGGAUGCAGAGGAGAUUGGAAUUCCCGGUGUAGCGGUGAAAUGUGUAGAGAUCGGGAGGAACACCAGUGGCGAAGGCGGCUCACUGGCCCGGUACUGACGCUGAGGUGCGAAAGCGUGGGGAGCAAACAGG